Molecule: ribosomal RNA, 882 nt
Filed under: uncultured bacterium
Lineage: Bacteria
Description: bacterial SSU rRNA
Rfam family: Bacterial small subunit ribosomal RNA
Source: RNAcentral
AGAGUUUGAUCAUGGCUCAGAACGAACGCUGGCGGCAUGCCUCAUACAUGCAAGUCGAACGAAAUCUUCGGAUUUAGUGGCGCACGGGUGAGUAACAUGUGGGAAUCUACCUGAAGGUUCGGAAUAACUGCGGGAAACUGUAGCUAAUACCGGAUGUGUCUGCAAAGAGAAAGAUUUAUCGCCUUCAGAUGAGCCCGCACUAGAUUAGCUAGUUGGUGAGGUAACUGCUCCACCAAGGCUACGAUCUAUAGCUGAUUUGAGAGGAUGAUCAGCCACACUGGGACUGAGACACGGCCCAGACUCCUACGGGAGGCAGCAGUAGGGAAUAUUGGACAAUGGGGGAAACCCUGAUCCAGCAAUGCCGCGUGAGUGAAGAAGGCCCUCGGGUUGUAAAACUCUUUCAUCAAUGAUGAUAAUGACAUUAGUUGAAGAAGAAGCUCCGGCUAACUUCGUGCCAGCAGCCGCGGUAAUACGAAGGGGGCUAGCGUUGUUCGGAAUCACUGGGCGUAAAGCGUAUGUAGGCGGAUCAAAAAGUUAGAUGUGAAAUCCCUGGGCUCAACCCAGGAACUGCAUUUAAAACUAGUGAUCUAGAAAUUGGUAAAGGUUAGUAGAAUUUCCAGUGUAGAGGUGAAAUUCGUAGAUAUUGGAAAGAAUACCAGAAGCGAAGGCGACUAACUAGGCCAUUUUUGACGCUGAGAUACGAAAGCGUGGGUAGCAAACAGGAUUAGAUACCCUGGUAGUCCACGCAGUAAACGAUGAGUGCUAGUCGCUGGGACAAUAGUUUCAGUGUCGAAGCUAACGCAUUAAGCACUCCGCCUGGGAAGUACGGUCGCAAGAUUAAAACUCAAAUAAAUUGACGGGGGCCCGCACAAGCGGUGGAGC